This 334-nucleotide ribosomal RNA is filed under the name Bacillus velezensis. Its description in RNAcentral is "bacterial SSU rRNA". It matches the Rfam family "Bacterial small subunit ribosomal RNA", at positions 1 to 299 of the family's 1533-position model. Lineage: Bacteria; Bacillati; Bacillota; Bacilli; Caryophanales; Bacillaceae. The record is from RNAcentral.
UUAUUGGAGAGUUUGAUCCUGGCUCAGGACGAACGCUGGCGGCGUGCCUAAUACAUGCAAGUCGAGCGGACAGAUGGGAGCUUGCUCCCUGAUGUUAGCGGCGGACGGGUGAGUAACACGUGGGUAACCUGCCUGUAAGACUGGGAUAACUCCGGGAAACCGGGGCUAAUACCGGAUGGUUGUUUGAACCGCAUGGUUCAGACAUAAAAGGUGGCUUCGGCUACCACUUACAGAUGGACCCGCGGCGCAUUAGCUAGUUGGUGAGGUAACGGCUCACCAAGGCGACGAUGCGUAGCCGACCUGCUGGCUCUUAUACACAUCUGACGCUGCCGAG